This is a long non-coding RNA of Triticum dicoccoides, 1615 nucleotides long. RefSeq lists it as uncharacterized. Lineage: Eukaryota; Viridiplantae; Streptophyta; Magnoliopsida; Poales; Poaceae. The transcript has 5 exons. The record is from RefSeq and is a predicted model, not a curated record.
UCAGGUGCCCUCGAGCGAAGCCAAACCAGAUCCCUUCGCCGCCGCCCUCGCCCCCGCAGCCGCCGCCCUCGCCCCCGCAGCCGCCGCCGAUCCCCUCCCCAUCUUCCUCCCUCAAACGCUACCCCAAUGACAUGAGUGUGCCGCCCCCUGCUUCCACCCGUCUCGCGAUGCGCCGCCGCCCGUCGCGGCCACCCAGGCCACCUCCGUCGCGGCCGCCCCCGCCACCUCCCAUCGCGGCCGCCGCCCCAGCUCCCGCCGCGGCCGCUGCCCUGCGCGCAAAUGACCCCUUCCCCCGCCCCAGCCGCCAUCACAGAUCCCUCCGCCGCCGCCGAUCUAUUUGCUAGAGCCAUAUGACCAUAUGAUCCCUCUACCACCUCAUCUCGUGCUCCUGACAUGCCGAGGGGGGAGAGGAGUAAGAGAGCAGGGACGAGUGCGCAGAGGAGGGAGAUGCCUGCCGUGAAGCUGCCAAGCAAGAAGACAAAGGAGGAGCGAUACUUGCGGAGGCGGCCGAGAUCGGGUACUACAUCUUCUUAGAUCUUCGCUGUCGUCUAGGUCAGGCCUCCCUCAGAUGCCCUGAUCCUCCAUCAUCAGGGAUGCCCUGCACUCUCCUCUCUAUGUCUGCUAGCGGUGGCGGCGGCCGGAAAUAGAGGGGACCAGUGGCAACGUGGAAUGGUACCCAGGGGCGUUCUGGUACAGCGCGAGAGGAAGCAGAUGAAUGUGCCACAUGUGAGAGGGAGAGGUCUGUAAUGGUAUCUGGUGGUGGCCUCUUGAAAAGAACCCAAGAUUCUCACUAAUAUCCUGUAGCUUGCUGUGUUCUUCGGGCUCUCUCAAACGACAAGAAGAUGAGUUACAGCGAAUUAUACGUCUCACCCCAUUGUUUGUACAAUGGUAUCCACUUUGAGUAGUAGUGUUGUGGGUUGUGGCUAACUGGCUAUGUGGAUUUGUCAGUGAUUUUGCUAGCUUUGAUGUGUUUCGGUUGGAUGAAAGGGAGUGUGUCGGUGCAGGUGCGAUGCAUCCGAUUGAGUAUAGGAGGACCGAGGACAUGUGGUGAGGCGUUGUGCCACAGGGCACAACGACAAGGGUGCGCACAAGCUGACCAGCGUCUAGCUCCAUGGCCUCAUCAAUGACAGAACCAGUACAAAUUGGCUUUUUAAAAGAGGAACAAAUGAUCGUCAAUGGUGCACUAAACCAUGAGAGUGCGGCGCCUUCUGUGUUGUGGACAUGGCAUGGGCUGUCUUCUGUUCACUGUUGUGUUCUUGCUGCCAUUCCGCGGUAUAUUGGAGUGUUUCAUCCUAAUAUAUGUCUGGUUACAUGACCACAAAGAGAUAGAAGAAUAUGAUGUAGUCUGGAGCAAAAUGGAGCUCUCCCAUUCGUUUGGAUUCUGAACCGUUCGAUCGAUUUCCCUGGCGCGUAAUGGCCGUCGGAUCUCUUGGUGCGCUGGUACUGGCCGUUCGAUCAAGCCGGCGUUCGAUCCUCGCAGGUCCUGGUCGUUGGAUCACUGGCAAACACUGCUGCAAGCUCCGGUUCGUGCCACCGCCUGUAAUUCUCAUGCCCCACAGAGGGCAUUAUUGUCUUUUCUCAUGCAGACGUAUAAAAGGCAGAAUAUGGAACCCUA